GAUGAAGAACGUAGCGAAAUGCGAUAAGUAAUGUGAAUUGCAGAAUUCAGUGAAUCAUCGAAUCUUUGAACGCACCUUGCGCCCUUUGGCCAUUCCGAAGGGCAUGCCUGUUUGAGUAUCAUGAACACCUCAACUCUUUAUGGUUUUCCAUGAUGAGCUUGGACUCUGGGGGUUUUGCUGGCUCACAGUCGGCUCCUCUAAAAUGAAUCAGCUUACCAGUGUUUGGUGGCUAUCAUGGGUGUGAUAACUAUCUACGCUUGUGGUUUUUCCACCAGGUAACCUUCAGCAGUGGAGGUUCGCUGGAGCUCAUAGAUGUCUCUCCUCAGUGAGGACAGCCCUUUGAAUGUUUGAUCUCAAAUCAGGUAGGACUACCCGCUGAACUUAAGCAUAUCAAUAAGCGGAGGA
Molecule: unclassified non-coding RNA, 405 nt
Filed under: soil metagenome
Description: partial contains 5.8S ribosomal RNA, internal transcribed spacer 2, and large subunit ribosomal RNA
Rfam family: 5.8S ribosomal RNA (bases 1-121)
Source: RNAcentral